AUGGCUCGCUUUGCCGUGGUCGCCGCUAUCCUCGCUCUCCUCGCAGUCGCCGCCGCGGCGCAGGGCCCCAUGCCGGCGCCCAGGAUGGCCCCGCUUCCGGCGCCACCGGCGAGGUCCCCGGCCACCGCCCCUGCGCCUGUCGCCACGCCGCCGACCGCAGCGUCGCCGUCCCCGGUGGCAUCUCCCCCUGCCCCGACCACCGACGCUCCUUCCGCGAUGACGCCGUCAGCGGUCUCUGCCACACCCGCUGGAGCCCCCGUCGGCGCCCCCACCGGCACCCCCGCGAGCUCCGCCGUGUACUCAUCCGCUGCCAGCUUCGUCGCGGUCGCCGGAGCGGUGGCCGCCGCCAUCGUGUUCUAG
Molecule: ribosomal RNA, 360 nt
Filed under: Triticum aestivum (bread wheat)
Lineage: Eukaryota; Viridiplantae; Streptophyta; Magnoliopsida; Poales; Poaceae
Description: partial small subunit ribosomal RNA
Source: RNAcentral